Molecule: small RNA, 81 nt
Filed under: human gut metagenome
Description: t44 RNA
Rfam family: t44 RNA
About the family: This family consists of a number of bacterial RNA genes of between 135 and 170 bases in length. The t44 gene is found between the map and rpsB genes in all species in the full alignment apart from Shigella flexneri. The function of this RNA is unknown.
Source: RNAcentral
AAUUUGCUAAAACACACACUUAUCGACACAGGUUUCUGGGUGCCGUUUACGGUGGGGAUCUGGGAUAGGUGGAGGCGUAAC